Molecule: long non-coding RNA, 1872 nt
Filed under: Fragaria vesca (wild strawberry)
Lineage: Eukaryota; Viridiplantae; Streptophyta; Magnoliopsida; Rosales; Rosaceae
Description: long non-coding RNA (FVES_LNC002221)
Source: RNAcentral
GCGGAGCUCGAUCUCUCCUCCGUCGUUCGGCCGUCUCUCUUCGCAAGACCGGUGUCAACAAAUUCGUCUCGUCGUCCUUGGCCUCUCUAUGGUCUUCGUUUUCGACGAGGAGGUUUGGCGAGAGAGAAUCGAAGGAGAGAAGGAUUACUAGGUUCGCCGGCGAGUUUACAAUUUCGGUCACGGCAGCGAGCAUGAUCGAUCAUGGUAUCUUCUCCUCGACUUGGCGAACACCUCUGUGGUGGUUGCUGCUUAAGACGAGCUCUGAGGAGGGAGAAUCGAGCAAAGGUAUGUUCUAGGUUUCAGGUCGUUGUUUUGGGAACUUUCUGGCGAGCUUCAAGUUUCAAUCUAGGUAUCAAAGUUGGUCCAUUUAUCGAGUUCUACGCCUCUGUAUAAUUGAAAUUGAGUAUAGUUGUGAUAGUUGUGAUAUAGAGAAUUUGGGUUUUGGGCAGUGUGCACCGCCGUUUGUGACUACUGUGCACGGUGGGUUUACGGCGGUGGCAGUCGUGUUUUGGUGUUUGUUUGGUAAAUUCAAGUAGAAUAAAAUUGCAGGAACAUGAUUUGGUGUUGAUAAUGCUUAAAUGUCAGAAUGGGGAGAGACGAGGAAUUUAGGAUUAAGGCAGUCGUGUAUGGCUGCUGCCCUUGGCAGCGGUGGUGCCGCUUUGAUCUAGUUCUUAUGAGUAUAUGAGCAUGGUCUUGACUGCUAGAAUGACAGAAAAUUGAGAAUAUGAGAGGUUGGAUGAUCAAGAGGUUUUCUGUAUAAGUAUGGGUUACUGUGUUUGAUAUUUGAUACGUUUUGGAUUGUGGCCGGUUUAGUUGAUCUUAACAUACACAUAAGAACCUUAAUGAGUUUUUAUAUAAGUCUAAAAUUUCAGAGAUGGAGGAGUUGGGUUUGAAGGUUAAGUUAGGCUCUGUGAGAUGAUGAAAGUUGAGAUUAAUUGUUAAGUUUUGGGCGGUGGUAUGUUUCUAUGUAUGAUUCUGUUUUGGACAAUGGAUGAUAUUGGUUUAUAGUAAUAAGAAUUGUUGUUGUGGCUGUGAUUUAGUUCAGGUAUGAAGAAACUGGACAUACAGAGAAUUGAAGAGUCGGAGGAGGAUGAUUAUGAGAAAGAACUAUAUUGUUGUAGAUGUUAUGUUUAAGAUAUUCAUACUUGUGCGAUUAAUGGAACUAGGUACCUUGAUUUUAGAACUGUCAAAGUGGAAUGGUGAAUUAGAUGGAAGCUCAAAAUUGAUGUCAAGUGUUGGUAUUGGUAGACAAAGUGGAUUGUGAAGUGGAGGAGAUUUAAUAUGUUAGUUUCUUAAGGAAGAAGAAAUUAAUGUGUCGAACUGGAAGACAAAUAAAAAGGCAGUUAAAAUGGAAUGAGUACGUAUGACGUUUUCUCACCAUCUCAGAUAAUUUUGAAUCAUGUUAAGGAAGAAGAAAUUAAUGUGUCGAAAUAAGAUAGGCUGUCCAUAGAAAUUUCGAUGAUUCGAUCAUGUUGAUUUGAUGCAAUUCGUCAACUCUCUAGGAAUAAGGAUUUGGUACAAGGAUCGAAGGUGUAUUACAAUUCCAAAUAGCAUAAGGAUAAAAAUUUCAAAAUGUGUGUCACUGUGUUACUGAUUAUAAUUAGCGUCGGAGCUAAAGCUCAGAUUCAAGUAGGGUCUCUCGGGGAACCUUUCUAUAAAUUGAUAAUUAGAUUAUUAUUGAAAUCGGUGAAUUAUGUGUCAUUGAGUGAUUAACUCUUAGAUGUUACUGCUUUCUAUAAAAGCAUGUGUAAUCGUUGAGUUAUAUGAUUAUUGUUAUCGCUUUUCAUAAAAGCAUGUGUUCGAUAUUAUUGUACGAGCAUUAAUACUCAUUGAUAUACAUAAUGCAUUGUGAAGAAUAGUGAGAACGGUGGU